UACAGAGACUGCAAGCGUUGUUCGGAAUUACUGGGCGUAAAGGGCUCGUAGGCGGCCAACUAAGUCAGACGUGAAAUCCCUCGGCUUAACCGGGGAACUGCGUCUGAUACUGGAUGGCUUGAGGUUGGGAGAGGGAUGCGGAAUUCCAGGUGUAGCGGUGAAAUGCGUAGAUAUCGGGAAGAACACCGGUGGCGAAGGCGGCUCGCUGGGCCAAUGCUGACGCUGAGGCGCGAAAGCGUGGGGAGCAAACAGG
Molecule: ribosomal RNA, 253 nt
Filed under: uncultured prokaryote
Description: partial 16S ribosomal RNA
Rfam family: Bacterial small subunit ribosomal RNA
Source: RNAcentral